UUAAAGUUUGAUUCUUUCUUUUGUUUCUAUGUUUCUAUUGAAAUUGUAUGAGAAUAGUAGUGAGUAUUGUUUUUAGUUUAAAAUUUAAAUUGAAGUUAAUUGAAAUUGAAAAUUAAUGGGUAGUAAAGUCUCAGCAUAAAAUAUUAAAUAAUAUACUAGUGUAUGAUUUAGUAAUAGUUUAAAAUCUGAUAAAAUAUUGUGCCAGCAGUCGCGGUUAAACUUUAAGGUAAAGUAGAAAAGGUAUUGGUUUUUGUUAAAUGAGUAAAAUUAAGUAUAGAAUCUAUGAAAAUAAAGGGUGAAAUUAGGUUAUUUUUUGUAGAUAAGUUAUUAUUGGUAUUGAAGCAAGAAAUCUUCGGGGUUAAACUAGGAUUAGAUACCCUAUUAUACCGAAAGUUAAUUAUAAUUGCCAGAUUAAUAGUAGAUAUUUUCUUUAAAUUUAAAGAAUUUGGCGGUGAUUUAGUCUAGUCAGAGGAACCUGUUUUUGAAUCGAUAAACCACGAAAAAUCUUACUUAUCUUUGUUUUCAGUUUGUAUACCGUCAUUAGCAGAUAAUUUUUAAAGAAAUAAUUAUUGUGUUUUAUAAAUUUAGAAAAAUUAGAUCAUGGUGCAGCUUAUAGGUAAGUUAAAAUGGGUUACAAUAAUAUUUAUUUAUAACGAAUAAAUAAUGAAGAAAAAUUUUUAAGGUGGAUUUGAUUGUAAUAUAAGUUUAAUAUGCUUAGGAGGCAUGAGCUCUAAAUCAUGUACAUAUCGCCCGUCGCUUUCAUUAUAUAGAUGAGAUAAGUCGUAACAUAGUAGGUUUACUGGAAAGUGAAUCUAGAUUAA
RNAcentral lists this non-coding RNA (821 nucleotides) under Pseudocarcinus gigas. The record is from RNAcentral. Lineage: Eukaryota; Metazoa; Arthropoda; Malacostraca; Decapoda; Eriphiidae.